GCCAGCUUGACUGCGAGCGUGACGGCGCGAGCAGGUGCGAAAGCAGGUCAUAGUGAUCCGGUGGUUCUGAAUGGAAGGGCCAUCGCUCAACGGAUAAAAGGUACUCCGGGGAUAACAGGCUGAUACCGCCCAAGAGUUCAUAUCGACGGCGGUGUUUGGCACCUCGAUGUCGGCUCAUCACAUCCUGGGGCUGAAGUAGGUCCCAAGGGUAUGGCUGUUCGCCAUUUAAAGUGGUACGCGAGCUGGGUUUAGAACGUCGUGAGACAGUUCGGUCCCUAUCUGCCGUGGGCGCUGGAGAACUGAGGGGGGCUGCUCCUAGUACGAGAGGACCGGAGUGGACGCAUCACUGGUGUUCGGGUUGUCAUGCCAAUGGCACUGCCCGGUAGCUAAAUGCGGAAGAGAUAAGUGCUGAAAGCAUCUAAGCACGAAACUUGCCCCGAGAUGAGUUCUCCCUGACCCUUUAAGGGUCCUGAAGGAACGUUGAAGACGACGACGUUGAUAGGCCGGGUGUGUAAGCGCAGCGAUGCGUUGAGCUAACCGGUACUAAUGAACCGUGAGG
Molecule: ribosomal RNA, 559 nt
Filed under: Shigella flexneri
Lineage: Bacteria; Pseudomonadati; Pseudomonadota; Gammaproteobacteria; Enterobacterales; Enterobacteriaceae
Also listed under: 1 other name
Description: partial 23S ribosomal RNA
Rfam family: Bacterial large subunit ribosomal RNA
Source: RNAcentral